Molecule: transfer RNA, 71 nt
Filed under: Ornithorhynchus anatinus (platypus)
Lineage: Eukaryota; Metazoa; Chordata; Mammalia; Monotremata; Ornithorhynchidae
Rfam family: tRNA
About the family: Transfer RNA (tRNA) molecules are approximately 80 nucleotides in length. Their secondary structure includes four short double-helical elements and three loops (D, anti-codon, and T loops).
Source: Rfam by way of RNAcentral
UGAAGUGCCUUUAAAUGGAAGAAAACUGGCCUGGGAGCCAGAGGACCUGGGUUCUAAUCCCAGCUCUACCA